UGCAAGUCGAGCGGGGGAAGGUAGCUUGCUACUGGACCUAGCGGCGGACGGGUGAGUAAUGCUUAGGAAUCUGCCUAUUAGUGGGGGACAACAUCUCGAAAGGGAUGCUAAUACCGCAUACGUCCUACGGGAGAAAGCAGGGGAUCUUCGGACCUUGCGCUAAUAGAUGAGCCUAAGUCGGAUUAGCUAGUUGGUGGGGUAAAGGCCUACCAAGGCGACGAUCUGUAGCGGGUCUGAGAGGAUGAUCCGCCACACUGGGACUGAGACACGGCCCAGACUCCUACGGGAGGCAGCAGUGGGGAAUAUUGGACAAUGGGGGGAACCCUGAUCCAGCCAUGCCGCGUGUGUGAAGAAGGCCUUAUGGUUGUAAAGCACUUUAAGCGAGGAGGAGGCUACUUUAGUUAAUACCUAGAGAUAGUGGACGUUACUCGCAGAAUAAGCACCGGCUAACUCUGUGCCAGCAGCCGCGGUAAUACAGAGGGUGCGAGCGUUAAUCGGAUUUACUGGGCGUAAAGCGUGCGUAGGCGGCUUAUUAAGUCGGAUGUGAAAUCCCCGAGCUUAACUUGGGAAUUGCAUUCGAUACUGGUGAGCUAGAGUAUGGGAGAGGAUGGUAGAAUUCCAGGUGUAGCGGUGAAAUGCGUAGAGAUCUGGAGGAAUACCGAUGGCGAAGGCAGCCAUCUGGCCUAAUACUGACGCUGAGGUACGAAAGCAUGGGGAGCAAACAGGAUUAGAUACCCUGGUAGUCCAUGCCGUAAACGAUGUCUACUAGCCGUUGGGGCCUUUGAGGCUUUAGUGGCGCAGCUAACGCGAUAAGUAGACCGCCUGGGGAGUACGGUCGCAA
RNAcentral lists this ribosomal RNA (841 nucleotides) under Acinetobacter sp. Its description in RNAcentral is "bacterial SSU rRNA". It matches the Rfam family "Bacterial small subunit ribosomal RNA", at positions 56 to 891 of the family's 1533-position model. The record is from RNAcentral. Lineage: Bacteria; Pseudomonadati; Pseudomonadota; Gammaproteobacteria; Moraxellales; Moraxellaceae.